This 994-nucleotide long non-coding RNA is filed under the name Vigna radiata. RNAcentral's name for it is "long non-coding RNA (VRAD_LNC015304)". Lineage: Eukaryota; Viridiplantae; Streptophyta; Magnoliopsida; Fabales; Fabaceae. The record is from RNAcentral.
AAUUGGUUAUAAUGUUGAAAAGAAGUGGAGGUUUUGAUAGGUGAAGUUUAGAAAUAAGAGUCUAAGGGGAGAAACAACAAUCUAGGACAUAUAGUAGGAUCAUUUGAAACUUGUUGGCACCUUGAGUUAAUAGAAAUCUGAUAUGGAAAUAUGCAUGACUCAGUAGGGUGGUUUAGGAAAGUUUUAAGCUCAAUUUUAGAGGUUUUUGCUAGUAAGAUUCUAAUGCAGUAGGUGUGGACUGAAGUAGUGAGUUUGGGGUCUAUUGUUAGAUAAUUUCUGAUUGGUUUAGACCCUUAGGAUGUUAAUCUUUGUAUGAGAAAAGGUGGAAGUGAGUUUAGGUAAGUUAGAGUAAGCAAGUUGGUGUAGGGUAUAUAUUUAAGCUAAAAACCUAUUUCUAGAGCAUUCUUAAUGCCUAGAAUGUCGUAUUAACCAAUUAGGUAGGUAUAAAGAGUAACCAAGGCUAGAAAAUAGGGGUUUGUAAUGUUCUGGUGUGACGUUGAGCAACACUAAGCGAGGCCUAAGUGCUAAAUUUACGAGAGGUUUGGCGUCCAAUUGCAAGGGGUGAUGCUCAAGCGCUAGAAAUGCGAGAGGAAUGGUGCUCAACGACGGGGAUGUGCUCAAUGCUAGUAUACAUAGUGUGUAGUCUUUGUUUUCUUCUUCUUUGACUUUUGUGAUUUCGUUUAAGCAUUGGUGGGUAUCUUAUGACAUGCUUUGAUAUGUUUUAUGGAAUGAUGUUAAGGGUUUUGAAUGAGGUUGAUGUAUGUAUCAAAGUAUGAUUGAAUAAGAGUUUCUAAGGAGAAAUUUUAAGUGGUAGUAUCAAGUACUGUUUCUGUGAAUGUAGGAAACUUAGUUUGGGGGUUAUCUUGACACUCUAAUGGUCAUUCAUUCUCAAUUAGAGAAGAGUGAUACAUUUGGUGAGAGUAACAGAAGAUCCUAGUCUAGGUGCUUUAGUAUGGCCUAAGACGCGAAACAGAUUAACCUUAUGUAUGUGGUA